UGAGGAAUAUUGGUCAAUGGGCGAGAGCCUGAACCAGCCAAGUCGCGUGAGGGAAGACGGUCCUAUGGAUUGUAAACCUCUUUUGCCGGGGAGCAAAGAGCGGUACGUGUACCGCGCCGAGAGUACCCGGAGAAAAGCAUCGGCUAACUCCGUGCC
Molecule: ribosomal RNA, 156 nt
Filed under: uncultured bacterium
Lineage: Bacteria
Description: partial 16S ribosomal RNA
Rfam family: Bacterial small subunit ribosomal RNA
Source: RNAcentral